UACGUAGGUGGCAAGCGUUGUCCGGAUUUAUUGGGCGUAAAGCGCGCGCAGGCGGUCCUUUAAGUCUGAUGUGAAAUCUUGCGGCUUAACCGCAAGUGGUCAUUGGAAACUGGGGGACUUGAGUGCAGAAGAGGAAAGCGGAAUUCCACGUGUAGCGGUGAAAUGCGUAGGGAUGUGGAGGAACACCAGUGGCGAAGGCGGCUUUCUGGACGAUAACUGACGCUGAGGCGCGAAAGCGUGGGGAGCAAACAGG
RNAcentral lists this ribosomal RNA (253 nucleotides) under uncultured bacterium. Its description in RNAcentral is "partial 16S ribosomal RNA". It matches the Rfam family "Bacterial small subunit ribosomal RNA", at positions 524 to 776 of the family's 1533-position model. The record is from RNAcentral.